RNAcentral lists this transfer RNA (69 nucleotides) under Ictidomys tridecemlineatus (thirteen-lined ground squirrel). Its description in RNAcentral is "Spermophilus tridecemlineatus (thirteen-lined ground squirrel) tRNA". It matches the Rfam family "tRNA". From Rfam's summary of the family: Transfer RNA (tRNA) molecules are approximately 80 nucleotides in length. Their secondary structure includes four short double-helical elements and three loops (D, anti-codon, and T loops). Lineage: Eukaryota; Metazoa; Chordata; Mammalia; Rodentia; Sciuridae. The record is from Rfam by way of RNAcentral.
GGGGUUGUGGCUCAGUGGCAGAGCGCUUGCCUUGAAUGUGUGAGGGCCUGGGUUCAAUCCUCAGCACCA